GUGAGGAAUAUUGCGCAAUGGGCGAAAGCCUGACGCAGCGACGCCGCGUGGAGGAUGAAGGCCUUCGGGUCGUAAACUCCUGUCGAGGGGGACGAAAUGGUGCUCUGUUAAUACCAGGGCGUCUUGACGGUACCCCUGGAGGAAGCCCCGGCUAACUCCGUGCCAGCAGCCGCGGUAAUACGGAGGGGGCCAGCGUUGCUCGGAAUCACUGGGCGUAAAGGGCUCGUAGGCGGUUUGAUAAGUCCUGUGUGAAAUCCCUUGGCUUAACCAAGGAACUGCGCCGGAUACUGUCGAACUAGAGGCCGGGAGAGGGAAGCGGAAUUCCGAGUGUAGCGGUGAAAUGCGUAGAUAUUCGGAGGAACACCGGUGGCGAAGGCGGCUUCCUGGACCGGUUCUGACGCUGAGGAGCGAAAGCUAGGGUAGCAAACAGGAUUAGAUACCCUAGUAGUCC
Molecule: ribosomal RNA, 451 nt
Filed under: uncultured bacterium
Lineage: Bacteria
Description: bacterial SSU rRNA
Rfam family: Bacterial small subunit ribosomal RNA
Source: RNAcentral